AAAGGGGGGCGUGCUAUACAUGCAAGUCGAGCGGACCGACGGGAGCUUGCUCCCUUAGGUCAGCGGCGGACACCUGAGUAACACGUGGGUAACCUGCCUGUAAGACUGGGAUAACUCCGGGAAACCGGGGCUAAUACCGGAUGCUUGAUUGAACCGCAUGGUUCAAUCAUAAAAGGCGGCUUCGGCUGCCGUUUACAGAUGGACCCGCGGCGCAUUAGCUAGUUGGUGAGGUAACGGCUCACCAAGGCGACGAUGCGUAGCCGACCUGAGAGGGUGAUCGGCCACACUGGGACUGAGACACGGCCCAGACUCCUACGGGAGGCAGCAGUAGGGAAUCUUCCGCAAUGGACGAAAGUCUGACGGAGCAACGCCGCGUGAGUGAUGAAGGUUUUCGGAUCGUAAAGCUCUGUUGUUAGGGAAGAACAAGUACCGUUCGAAUAGGGCGGUACCUUGACGGUACCUAACCAGAAAGCCACGGCUAACUACGUGCCAGCAGCCGCGGUAAUACGUAGGUGGCAAGCGUUGUCCGGAAUUAUUGGGCGUAAAGCGCGCGCAGGCGGUUUCUUAAGUCUGAUGUGAAAGCCCCCGGCUCAACCGGGGAGGGUCAUUGGAAACUGGGGAACUUGAGUGCAGAAGAGGAGAGUGGAAUUCCACGUGUAGCGGUGAAAUGCGUAGAGAUGUGGAGGAACACCAGUGGCGAAGGCGACUCUCUGGUCUGUAACUGACGCUGAGGCGCGAAAGCGUGGGGAGCGAACAGGAUUAGAUACCCUGGUAGUCCACGCCGUAAACGAUGAGUGCUAAGUGUUAGAGGGUUUCCUGCCCUUUAGUGCUGCAACAAACGCAUUUAGCCACUCCGCCUGGGGGAGUACGGUCGCAAGACUGAAACUCAAAGGAAUUGAACGGGGGCCCGCACAACCGGUGGAGCAUGUGGUUUAAUUUGAAGCAACCCAAAAAACCUUACCAGGCCUUGACUUCCUCUGACUUCCCUUAAAAAUAGGCUUCCCCCUUCGGGGGGAAAAUGGAAGGGGGGGCCAGGGUUGUCGCUCCCUUCGGGUCGGGAAAAGUUGGGUUAAAUCCCCCCAAAAGACCCGAAACCCUUGAAUUUUAUUUGCCACCCUUUCAUUGGGGCACCUCUUAGGGGGACGGCCCGGGGAAAAACCGGGAGGAAAGGGGGGGAAGAACCCCCAAUCUUUCUGCCCCCCUUUUACCCGGGCGACACACACGGUGCUAAAUAGGGGAAAAAAAAAAGGGGGGAAAAAAACCCCCCGGGGGGCCCCCCCCAAACCCCCCAAAAAAUUGUUUUUUUCUCCUUUUGCGGAAAAGACCCCCCUGGGCGCACACACCACCACGGGGGCGCGGGGAAAAAGGGGGGGGAAACCCCCCCUUA
Molecule: ribosomal RNA, 1387 nt
Filed under: Bacillus sp. (in: firmicutes)
Lineage: Bacteria; Bacillati; Bacillota; Bacilli; Caryophanales; Bacillaceae
Description: Bacillus sp. (in: Bacteria) partial 16S ribosomal RNA
Rfam family: Bacterial small subunit ribosomal RNA
Source: RNAcentral